GAUGAAGAACGUAGCGAAAUGCGAUAAGUAAUGUGAAUUGCAGAUUUCAGUGAAUCAUCGAAUCUUUGAACGCACCUUGCGCCCUUUGGCCAUUCCGAAGGGCAUGCCUGUUUGAGUAUCAUGAACACCUCAACUCUUUAUGGUUUUCCAUGAUGAGCUUGGACUCUGGGGGUUUUGCUGGCUCACAGUCGGCUCCUCUAAAAUGAAUCAGCUUACCAGUGUUUGGUGGGUAUCAUGGGUGUGAUAACUAUCUACGCUUGUGGUUUUUCCACCAGGUAACCUUCAGCAGUGGAGGUUCGCUGGAGCUCAUAGAUGUCUCUCCUCAGUGAGGACAGCCCUUUGAAUGUUUGAUCUCAAAUCAGGUAGGACUACCCGCUGAACUUAAGCAUAUCAAUAAGCGGAGGA
Molecule: unclassified non-coding RNA, 405 nt
Filed under: soil metagenome
Description: partial contains 5.8S ribosomal RNA, internal transcribed spacer 2, and large subunit ribosomal RNA
Rfam family: 5.8S ribosomal RNA (bases 1-121)
Source: RNAcentral